RNAcentral lists this ribosomal RNA (694 nucleotides) under uncultured bacterium. RNAcentral's name for it is "bacterial SSU rRNA". It matches the Rfam family "Bacterial small subunit ribosomal RNA", at positions 8 to 680 of the family's 1533-position model. The record is from RNAcentral.
AGAGUUUGAUCCUGGCUCAGAAUCAACGCUGGCGGCGUGCCUCAGACAUGCAAGUCGAACGCGAAAGUUUCCUUCGGGAGAUGAGUAGAGUGGCGCACGGGUGAGUAACACGUAGGUAAUCUACCUUUGGAUGGGGAAUAACAACCGGAAACGGUUGCUAAUACCGCAUAAUGCAGCGGCACCUAAUGGUGACAGUUGUUAAAGCGGGGGAUCGAAAGACCUCGCGUCUAAAGAGGAGCCUGCGGCGGAUUAGCUAGUUGGUAAGGUAAUGGCUUACCAAGGCCACGAUCCGUAACCGGCCUGAGAGGGCGGUCGGUCACACUGACACUGACAUACGGGUCAGACUCCUACGGGAGGCAGCAGUCGGGAAUUUUGGGCAAUGGGCGAAAGCCUGACCCAGCAACGCCGCGUGAAGGAUGAAAUCCCUCGGGAUGUAAACUUCGCAAGAAUGAGAAGAAUAAGUAGGGGACAAUACCCCCUAUGAUGACGGUAUCAUUUGUAAGCUCCGGCUAACUCCGUGCCAGCAGCCGCGGUAAUACGGGGGGAGCAAGCGUUGUUCGGAUUUACUGGGCGUAAAGGGCGCGUAGGCGGUCAGCACAAGUCAGUUGUGAAAUCUCCGAGCUUAACUCGGAAAGGUCAACUGAAACUGUGCGACUAGAGUGCGGAAGGGGCAACUGGAAUUCUUGGUGUAGCG